CCAACGGCCCUCUUUAGGGCCACAGUCAUUUAAGUCAGACGUUCCU
Molecule: non-coding RNA, 46 nt
Organism: Enterobius vermicularis (human pinworm)
Lineage: Eukaryota; Metazoa; Nematoda; Chromadorea; Rhabditida; Oxyuridae
Source: Rfam